This 518-nucleotide long non-coding RNA is filed under the name Androctonus crassicauda. The record is from RNAcentral. Lineage: Eukaryota; Metazoa; Arthropoda; Arachnida; Scorpiones; Buthidae.
UAUCAAUCCAUAGAUGUUGGAAGACUUUGACGUCACCACAUAAAAUCUACAGGAUUCUGUGUAUUGUGUUUUCAAUUAAAAAUGAGAGUGUAGACUCUGUGAAGAUUCCAUGAGAAGUCAGUUUGUCUUGUUAUUGGUAUGGUGUUUUUUAGUUCUAACAACUUUUAUUUAUUGUUGUAAGAUGCCUAAGCAUACUAGGGAAAAAAAAUCACAAGUUAUUACGGUAAGUCAGAUGAAGACAUAGUGCAAUCUUUAAGAGAUGCUGUAUCUAAUCUCAAGGUUUCGAACAGAAAACUGAACAUGCCUAUUUUCGAUGGAGGAGAGUUGUCAUUUGACAAAUGGUGUAAAUUAGUUUCUAUGCAGAUAAAUCUUCUUGGCUUUACGAAUGAAGAAAUAAUCUCUAAUCUACUAUCCUUACUCAAGGAUAAACCGUUAGAGCUUUAUUUGGAACAUUGUUUUGAACUCAACAAUUGGCAUGAUAUUGAGAGAGCAUUACAGGAGUUAUUCCCGCCAGAAAG